Molecule: ribosomal RNA, 802 nt
Filed under: Microbacterium sp.
Lineage: Bacteria; Bacillati; Actinomycetota; Actinomycetes; Micrococcales; Microbacteriaceae
Description: bacterial SSU rRNA
Rfam family: Bacterial small subunit ribosomal RNA
Source: RNAcentral
CCUGAGAGGGUGACCGGCCACACUGGGACUGAGACACGGCCCAGACUCCUACGGGAGGCAGCAGUGGGGAAUAUUGCACAAUGGGCGGAAGCCUGAUGCAGCAACGCCGCGUGAGGGAUGACGGCCUUCGGGUUGUAAACCUCUUUUAGCAGGGAAGAAGCGAAAGUGACGGUACCUGCAGAAAAAGCGCCGGCUAACUACGUGCCAGCAGCCGCGGUAAUACGUAGGGCGCAAGCGUUAUCCGGAAUUAUUGGGCGUAAAGAGCUCGUAGGCGGUUUGUCGCGUCUGCUGUGAAAUCCCGAGGCUCAACCUCGGGCCUGCAGUGGGUACGGGCAGACUAGAGUGCGGUAGGGGAGAUUGGAAUUCCUGGUGUAGCGGUGGAAUGCGCAGAUAUCAGGAGGAACACCGAUGGCGAAGGCAGAUCUCUGGGCCGUAACUGACGCUGAGGAGCGAAAGGGUGGGGAGCAAACAGGCUUAGAUACCCUGGUAGUCCACCCCGUAAACGUUGGGAACUAGUUGUGGGGACCAUUCCACGGUUUCCGUGACGCAGCUAACGCAUUAAGUUCCCCGCCUGGGGAGUACGGGCCGCAAGGCUAAAACUCAAAGGAAUUGACGGGGACCCGCACAAGCGGCGGAGCAUGCGGAUUAAUUUCGAUGCAACGCGAAGAACCUUACCAAGGCUUGACAUACACCAGAACGGGCCAGAAAUGGUCAACUCUUUGGACACUGGUGAACAGGUGGUUGCAUGGUUGUCGUCAGCUCGUGUCGUGAGAUGUUUGGGUUAAGUCCCGCAACGAGCGCA